GAUGAAGAACGCAGCGAAAUGCGAUAAGUAAUGUGAAUUGCAGAAUUCAGUGAAUCAUCGAAUCUUUGAACGCACAUUGCGCCCCCUGGCAUUCCGGGGGGCAUGCCUGUCCGAGCGUCAUUGCUGCCCUCAAGCACGGCUUGUGUGUUGGGCCUCCGUCCUCCUCCCGGGGGACGGGCCCGAAAGGCAGCGGCGGCACCGCGUCCGGUCCUCGAGCGUAUGGGGCUUCGUCACCCGCUCUUGUAGGCCCGGCCGGCGCUUGCCGACACAUCAAUCUUUUUUCCAGGUUGACCUCGGAUCAGGUAGGGAUACCCGCUGAACUUAAGCAUAUCAAUAAGCGGAGGA
Molecule: unclassified non-coding RNA, 345 nt
Filed under: soil metagenome
Description: partial contains 5.8S ribosomal RNA, internal transcribed spacer 2, and large subunit ribosomal RNA
Rfam family: 5.8S ribosomal RNA (bases 1-120)
Source: RNAcentral